Molecule: long non-coding RNA, 904 nt
Organism: Megalobrama amblycephala (Wuchang bream)
Lineage: Eukaryota; Metazoa; Chordata; Actinopteri; Cypriniformes; Xenocyprididae
Exons: 4
Source: RefSeq, a predicted model, not a curated record
GCUGUUGUCGAUCGAUGAUGUUCCUGUCACUGAUAGUGGAGCCUGUAACGUAAGUUUUUUUUUUUUUUUUUUUUUUGCUAAAUUUAAUGUUUUACUAAACUUGUUAAUUAGGCACACGUUAUUUGCUCGUGCAGUUCAGGCAUAUGCUGGUUUGGCAUUAAUGGCAUUUCAUACGCUCAAUUUUUCUACUAUUAUUAUUAUCAUUAUUAAUAUAGCCUUACUAUAAUAUAAUUUUUAUUCACUUUCUGCUGAAUGACAAGCUGUUUUCGAUUAUCCAGUUGAGCCAGUGAUUCAUAGCAGAAGCAGAGACGGUUUGUGCAACAGCAACAAGGUGAGAAUGAUGAGACACUUUAAGAAGUAGAAUUUUUUUUUUUUUUUUAAUUAAGCACUGUUAAGCAAAUUAUAUUAUUUGUGUAAUUUAUGAAUUGAUAUGUUCUCUGCACUUGUGUUAAUAUCUGUUUCUGUCUGUAACAGGUGCAGGUCCAAACCCAUCUGUCAAAAGACGCUUGUCCACUUGCUGUCCGCCCCACCAGCCCAACAAUUGUGCUGGAGAACCACAAGUCAUAGAAAAAGAGAAUGUCAUAAUCAACUGGAACAGCAUGAGGUGGUAGAGACAGAGAAGAAGUGCCCUUGAUGAGGAAACCCUGGCAGCCAUAUAUACGGUAAGUUAAUACUUAGUGAAAGGAAAAUUUACUAGAAACAUUAAGUUAAACAAAAUAACUGAUUUUUGUCUCAUAGUCAAGAAGAGAUUUCCAAAUGUGUCCAAAGAGGCUUUGAGGAUUUGAACUGGGGAAACUGAGACUUCUUGAAAGCAAAAAAGUUAUAUUUGUUUGAAUAUUGUAAUUUUUUGAACAUUGUAAAGUAUGUUCCUUGCUGAUUAUUAUUCAAAUGUUCAUGUGUUAUA